Molecule: microRNA precursor, 269 nt
Organism: Medicago truncatula (barrel medic)
Lineage: Eukaryota; Viridiplantae; Streptophyta; Magnoliopsida; Fabales; Fabaceae
Rfam family: MIR2655 microRNA precursor family
Source: Rfam
CCCGUAAGUAAUAAAAUGUCCGUUUAGGUCCCUUAACUUUAUUUAAAGUAUCGGUUUGAUCCUUUCUGUUAAUUUAAUUCAAAAAAACGUUAAGUUUAGGGACCAAACUAAUACUAAUUAAAUAAGUUAAAGGACCAAACUAAUACUAAUUAAAUAAGAUAAGGGACCAAAAUUUAACGUUUUUUUUUUAAUUAAAUUAACAGAAAGGACCAAACUGAUACUUUCAAUAAAGUUAAGAGACCAAAACGGACCUUUUAUUACUUAUGGGA